Molecule: ribosomal RNA, 429 nt
Filed under: Bacteroidota bacterium
Lineage: Bacteria; Pseudomonadati; Bacteroidota
Description: Bacteroidetes bacterium partial 16S ribosomal RNA
Rfam family: Bacterial small subunit ribosomal RNA
Source: RNAcentral
UAGGGAAUCUUCCGCAAUGGACGCAAGUCUGACGGAGCAACGCCGCGUGAGUGAAGAAGGAUUUCGGUUCGUAAAACUCUGUUGUUAGAGAAGAACAGCGCAUAGAGUAACUGUUAUGCGUGUGACGGUAUCUAACCAGAAAGCCACGGCUAACUACGUGCCAGCAGCCGCGGUAAUACGUAGGUGGCAAGCGUUGUCCGGAUUUAUUGGGCGUAAAGCGAGCGCAGGCGGUAAAUUAAGUCUGAUGUGAAAGCCCCCGGCUCAACCGGGGAGGGUCAUUGGAAACUGGUUGACUUGAGUGCAGAAGAGGAGAGUGGAAUUCCAUGUGUAUCGGUGAAAUGCGUAGAUAUAUGGAGGAACACCAGUGGCGAAGGCGACUCUCUGGUCUGUAACUGACGCUGAGGCUCGAAAGCGUGGGUAGCAAACAGG